AAGAGACCACAAAUGACAAGGUGCCAGGGCAGGCAGAGAGCUGCGGGAUUCCAGGGCAUUUUCUGUCCAGUUUAGGCAGCUGGGAAGCCUGCAUUUUACAUCCGGCCUGGUUUGUCUCCAGAGGAUUCAAAAAGCCUUCUUCACCUGAAGCUGCACAGGAGGAGUCAUUU
Molecule: long non-coding RNA, 170 nt
Organism: Artibeus jamaicensis (Jamaican fruit-eating bat)
Lineage: Eukaryota; Metazoa; Chordata; Mammalia; Chiroptera; Phyllostomidae
Exons: 3
Source: RefSeq, a predicted model, not a curated record